UGUCCAAUAUGGGUAUGGAGUCUGAAAAACUCAGAAAUUUUGUGUUGUCAUCAGCUUCUUCUCGCCAACUUUAGGGGACUGGAGUUAAAUAACAGCACGAAAUUU
Molecule: small nucleolar RNA, 105 nt
Organism: Benincasa hispida (wax gourd)
Lineage: Eukaryota; Viridiplantae; Streptophyta; Magnoliopsida; Cucurbitales; Cucurbitaceae
Product: small nucleolar RNA snoR97
Source: RefSeq, a predicted model, not a curated record